AGUGAACGCUGGCGGUAGGCCUAACACAUGCAAGUCGAACGGCAGCACAGUAAGAGCUUGCUCUUACGGGUGGCGAGUGGCGGACGGGUGAGGAAUACAUCGGAAUCUACUUUUUCGUGGGGGAUAACGUAGGGAAACUUACGCUAAUACCGCAUACGACCUACGGGUGAAAGCAGGGGAUCUUCGGACCUUGCGCGAUUGAAUGAGCCGAUGUCGGAUUAGCUAGUUGGCGGGGUAAAGGCCCACCAAGGCGACGAUCCGUAGCUGGUCUGAGAGGAUGAUCGGCCACACUGGAACUGAGACACGGUCCAGACUACUACGGGAGGCAGCAGUGGGGAAUAUUGGACAAUGGGCGCAAGCCUGAUCCAGCCAUACCGCGUGGGUGAAGAAGGCCUUCGGGUUGUAAAGACCUUUUGUUGGGAAAGAAAAGCAGCAGGUUAAUACCCCGCUGUUCUGACGGUACCCAAAGAAUAAGCACCGGCUAACUUCGUG
Molecule: ribosomal RNA, 492 nt
Filed under: uncultured bacterium
Lineage: Bacteria
Description: partial 16S ribosomal RNA
Rfam family: Bacterial small subunit ribosomal RNA
Source: RNAcentral